AUGACUGUCUUGAGUUGGAACUGCCGGGGGCUUGGGAACCCCGAGGCAGUUCGAGAGCUUCGCAGUAUUGUGAAGCAAGAAGUGCCCUCUCUUCUCUUUGUCAUGGAGACGAAGAUUAGAGGAAGGAGAGUGGAAGAGAUGGAGAAUAGUUUGGAUUUUGGUGGUUGCUUUGCAGUGGACAGUAUUGGCCUAAGUGGUGGUCUAGGCCUUUUCUGGUCCAGAGACGUU
Molecule: ribosomal RNA, 228 nt
Filed under: Triticum aestivum (bread wheat)
Lineage: Eukaryota; Viridiplantae; Streptophyta; Magnoliopsida; Poales; Poaceae
Description: partial small subunit ribosomal RNA
Source: RNAcentral